ACAAAAUCGGAGGCCCCGACUGUUUACUAAAAACACAAUUCAGAGCAAUGAUGAAAAUCAUAGUAUUCUGGAUGAAAUUUGCCCGAUGCCAUUAACAUAAAAGAGGUAAUGGGUUACUGUUACUAAUUGAAAGUCUGGUUAAUAGCGGUCUUAAUUAUGAGGAUCCUAAGGUAGCAAAAUCAGUUGGCCAUUAAAUGUGGUCUGGUAUCAAUAGUGUAACGAUGGUCUCACUGUCUCUACAACUUGCUCAGUGAAAUUGAAUUAUCCGUGCAGAUGCGGAUUGCCUCCAGUGGACGG
This 297-nucleotide ribosomal RNA is filed under the name uncultured Thelephoraceae. RNAcentral's name for it is "partial large subunit ribosomal RNA". It matches the Rfam family "Bacterial large subunit ribosomal RNA", at positions 1781 to 2083 of the family's 2925-position model. The record is from RNAcentral. Lineage: Eukaryota; Fungi; Basidiomycota; Agaricomycetes; Thelephorales; Thelephoraceae.